This 206-nucleotide ribosomal RNA is filed under the name uncultured bacterium. RNAcentral's name for it is "partial 16S ribosomal RNA". It matches the Rfam family "Bacterial small subunit ribosomal RNA", at positions 568 to 774 of the family's 1533-position model. The record is from RNAcentral.
AGCGUAGACGGCACGGCAAGCCAGAUGUGAAAGCCCGGGGCUCAACCCCGGGACUGCAUUUGGAACUGCUGAGCUAGAGUGUCGGAGAGGCAAGUGGAAUUCCUAGUGUAGCGGUGAAAUGCGUAGAUAUUAGGAGGAACACCAGUGGCGAAGGCGGCUUACUGGACGACAACUGACGCUGAGGCUGAAAGCUGGGGGAGCAAACA